UCAUGCUGCAUUGCUUCAGCGGUUUCGGGCGCAUUAAAAACUUUCAUAAACUCACCAAGGUCAGAGGUCUCACACGGAAGCAGCCAUUUUAUAAUGAAAGCGUAAUAGCUCACUUUUCGAGGGAUGAAGCACUGACAAUGUAUCGGGGCUCAACUUAUUUACCGAAGCAACAGAAUACAGGUAGCGAAGCGUUUUGUAAACCAAUGAAGAUAUUUUGGAAAAAAUAUUGGAGGUUUCAAAAGUGAGUAUACUGACAUGAGUAACGAAAAAAUCAUGUGAAAAUCAUGAUCGCCGUAAGUUCAAGGGUUUCUGCGAUCUGGUCAUCAGCGCAGAGUGAAUCGGCUUCUAAAUUGAGUGUGAUCACAUUUCAAUGAUGAGCUUUCUUAAACUGACAAAUUGAGUUAAAAUUUUUAGAAUCUAUUGGAUAAUUCUGAUUUGUGACCAAUUUCAGGAAAAGGUUUAAGAGUGAAAUAAACCGUACCCAAAACCGACACUGGUGAACAAGUCGAAUAGACUCAGGCGUUGAGAUAACCAUGCUGAAGGAACUCGGCAAAAUAUUCCCGUACCUUAGGAAGAAGGGAAACCAAUUAGUUUGGUGACACAAAAAUGGGGGUGACGACUUUUUACUAAAAAAUUAGGACUCUGCAAAAUGGUAACAUGAAGUAUAGGGUCUGACGUCUGCCCGGUGCUAGAAGCUUAAGAGGAGACUUGCAAGAGUUGAAUUGAAGGCCUAGUAAACGGCGGUUGUAACUAUAACAAUCAUAAAGUAGCGAAAUUCCUUGCCAGCUAAUUCCUGGCCUGCAUGAAAGACGUAACGAUUGCCCUACUGUCUCCAGCAUGGACUCAGUGAAAUUGAAUUUUCCGUGAAGAUGCGGAAAUCGUGCCCCAAGACGAGAAGACCCUAUGCAUCUUUACUGUACAUUUACAUUGAACAAAGAAAUCAAGUAUGUAGAAUAGGUGGGAGUCCAUACACUCUUGAAAUACCACCUUCUGGAUUUCUUCAUUCUCAUUGAAGCAUUCAAGAACAUGUAAAUGAGGCAGUUUGACUGGGGCGGUCGCCUCCUAAAGAGUAACGGAGGCGUGCGAAGGUAAACUCAAUGAAAGUUGGAAACUUUCUGAAGAAUGCAAUGGUAAAAGUUUGCCUGACUGCGAGACUCAACAAGUCGAGCAGAGACGAAAGUCGGCCAUAGUGAUCCAAAAGUACCGAGUGGAAGGGCUUUGGCUUAACGAAUCAAAGAUACGCUAGGGAUAACAGGCUAAUAAUUCCCAAGAGUCCUUAUCGACGGAAUUGUUUGGCACCUCGAUGUUGACUGAUCAUAUCCUGGGGCUGAAGAAGGUCCCAAGGGUUCGGCUGUUCGCCGAUUAAAGUGGUACGUGAGCUGGGUUUAG
This 1389-nucleotide ribosomal RNA is filed under the name marine metagenome. RNAcentral's name for it is "bacterial LSU rRNA". It matches the Rfam family "Bacterial large subunit ribosomal RNA", at positions 1022 to 2614 of the family's 2925-position model. The record is from RNAcentral.